RNAcentral lists this ribosomal RNA (253 nucleotides) under uncultured bacterium. RNAcentral describes it as "partial 16S ribosomal RNA". It matches the Rfam family "Bacterial small subunit ribosomal RNA", at positions 524 to 776 of the family's 1533-position model. The record is from RNAcentral.
UACAGAGGGGGCACGCGUUCUUCGGAAUUAUUGGGCGUAACGGGCUCGUAGGCGGCUUUUCAAGUGACGGGUGAAAUCCCUCGGCUUAACCGAGGAACUGCCUGUCAGACUGGAAGGCUUGAGACCGGGAGAGGUGAGUGGAAUUCCCAGUGUAGCGGUGAAAUGCGUAGAUAUUGGGAGGAACACCAGUGGCGAAGGCGGCUCACUGGACCGGAACUGACGCUGAGGCGCGAAAGCGUGGGGAGCAAACAGG